Molecule: ribosomal RNA, 678 nt
Filed under: Cortinarius sp. PDD 92038
Lineage: Eukaryota; Fungi; Basidiomycota; Agaricomycetes; Agaricales; Cortinariaceae
Description: eukaryotic LSU rRNA
Rfam family: 5.8S ribosomal RNA (bases 291-444)
Source: RNAcentral
AAGUAAAAGUCGUAACAAGGUUUCCGUAGGUGAACCUGCGGAAGGAUCAUUAUUGAAAUAAAUCUGAUAAGUUGCUGCUGGUUCUCUAGGGAGCAUGUGCACACUUGUCAUCUUUAUAUCUCCACCUGUGCACUUUUUGUAGACUUGGAUAUCUCUCUGAAUGCCAUCAUUCAGGUUUGAGGAUUGACUUUCUGUCUCCCCUUACAUUUCCAGGCCUAUGUUUCUUCAUAUAGCCUUUAUCUAUGUUACAGAAUGUAAUAAAAUGGGCCUUUGUGCCUAUAAACCUAUACAACUUUCAGCAACGGAUCUCUUGGCUCUCGCAUCGAUGAAGAACGCAGCGAAAUGCGAUAAGUAAUGUGAAUUGCAGAAUUCAGUGAAUCAUCGAAUCUUUGAACGCACCUUGCGCUCCUUGGUAUUCCGAGGAGCAUGCCUGUUUGAGUGUCAUUAAUAUAUAUAUAUCAACCUCUUCGGCAUUUUGCUUGUUGAGUGUUUGGAUGUGGGGGUUUUUUUUUUGCUGGCUCCUCUCUUCUGAGGUCAGCUCCCCUGAAAUUCAUUAGCGGAACAAUUUGUUGACCGUUCAUUGGUGUGAUAACUAUCUACGCUAUUGACGUGAAGCAGUUCAGCUUCUAACAGUCCAUUGACUUGGACAAAUUUUCAUUAAUGUGACCUCAAAUCAGG